Microplitis demolitor is the source of this 985-nucleotide long non-coding RNA. RefSeq lists it as uncharacterized. NCBI's taxonomy places the organism in Eukaryota, Metazoa, Arthropoda, Insecta, Hymenoptera, Braconidae. The record is from RefSeq and is a predicted model, not a curated record. The transcript is spliced from 5 exons.
UGUCAGUUAAAAUAAUUGAAAAGUUUAAUAUAAAAUUUAGCGCUUGCGUGUUAAAGUAAAGCCGAGAGAUUUUUCUUUGAGUUUAAAAUCCCAGUUGAGACUUCGAUCCGAGGCCGAGAGAGGUCUGCGUGGGAGACCUGUCGCUCCUUUCUCUCUUCCUCACGCUCGAAAAUCUUUCUCAUUUUCUUGUGUACCUCUUGCUCGCUCGCUCGCACUUGCACUCGUACUUACUUACUUACUCACUCACUUACUUACUCACUUACUUACUUAUUCGUUAGCUCAUACAACUCUUUUUUACCCUUUCUCUUUAUAUUAUUCUUAUUAUCAAUCUGGUGCAAGAGGAGAACCCGAAGAUGCCGACUUCUUCCGCUUCCGAGAAUCUUGCUGUUCGAGACGUUGACUACAUUUUUGGAUUACGCAUCGAUAACCAGUGCUAUUGAUAUACUAUUUUGAUCAGAGUUUAAGCCCGAAGAGAAAAGUCGACUUAGAGGCAGAAAAAGAGGAUGAGGAUGAGAAUGAGAAAUAAGGAGAGAAAGAGAAAGAGAACUAGGAAGAGGUAAAGGCAGAGUUAGAGGUUGAGGUUGGAGAAGAUGAAACUAAAGAAAAGAGAGCUCUGAGUAUAGCACGAAGUAAAGCCAGUGGUACAACGAUCCCGGGGUCAUGCUCCGGUCACUGACAUCCGCCUUGGCCACCACUCUCUUCUCUAAGACAUACAACCAAGCUAACUUUGCCCUGCGACAGCAGGCUAAGUCUCCCGAGGCCUGACCACUCUCUGCCCUUUCGUCGUACUCGUUCUGGUAUUAUGCCCGUUCAUGAGUUGCUGUAAUCAGGAAACUAUGCUCUAUAAAUAUGUACAACAAUGACCUGCGGUGUGUUCAUUGUUAUGUUAAAUCGCAAUGCAAUAACAUUGAAACGAAAAGGCGUGAGGCAGUGACACGCUGUAUGUACUGAAGAGAAUGAGGAUUGAGGAUGAGAAUAUGAGGUA